Long non-coding RNA from Monodelphis domestica (gray short-tailed opossum), 1293 nucleotides. RefSeq lists it as uncharacterized. The record is from RefSeq and is a predicted model, not a curated record. NCBI's taxonomy places the organism in Eukaryota, Metazoa, Chordata, Mammalia, Didelphimorphia, Didelphidae.
CGCUUUGACCUUCUACCGCGUGACUCCUGGACGGAGCUCCCUGGGGCGACGCAACACGGCCGUCCUUCAGCCGAGACCAUCCGGAGGAAUGGCCAGAGAAUGGACGAUUCUCUCCGCUUCCUUCCUAGCAACCGCGACAGCCGGCCCUGGGCAGCCAACCGAGUGAAUUUGAAAACCAAAUCUGCGAGCGCGCGGGCUCCUGCGUGAUUAAUCUGCUCCGUCUAUCGCCCAUCUGUUGUUGUCACCAGGAGACCAGGAGAGGGAAAGCGGCGCGGGCCCUGUUCACUUGGGCAGGCCAGCUGGAGCCUCUCCUUCUCCCCGGCCAUGGGGGGGGGGGGGGGGCAGAGGCACGCCUGGGAGAGGGGGAGAACAAAGGCUUCUCCGGCUCUGGCCUCCUUGGGCCAAAGCGGCUCUUUGGGAGCUUCGGAUUCCUCUCGGCUAAAUAAUAUUUCAGCUCGCAGCCCUGGGCUAAACGGGGCUCCGAGGCUCAUUCGAUUUCUUUUGCCUCUUACUAAAGACACCUGAGAAAAAUGGGGUGCCGAUGGGGUCUGCUAAAGAAGGGUGGACGUGAGCGGGCUUUUAGAUUCCCUGGGCCAGUGCCAUCCGUUGUCAGAGGAAGACAUUGAGGCCCCGGGAAGUACAUGACUUGCCCAGUGCCCUCAGAGAACUUGAACCCAGGACUCCUGCAUCUCUGAAGCCAACCAGAACUCCCUCUGAAGAGAGCUGAAAUGUAUACUACAGUUUGAAUAGGUUCUCUUUUUUAGAGCCUCACAACAUUCCUGAGAAUGCAUCUCGGAUAUUAUAAUGGAAUUAAGGAGAGAAGUAAGAUGUGUUUGCCCAAAUCAGACGUUCUGUAUCUAUUCUACCAAAUUCAUUUUUAAUUGGAUUUCCUUGUGGCAAGCAGUUCUUGGCGAGGAAACGUCCUCCCCCUCCCCCCCCCCCCGGCAGAGUGGCACCUGCUCAGGUAAGCUUAGUCUUAGGGCAUUGUCGGGGCCUGAGAGCUGGAGGCCACACUGGAAGCCAGGCUGCCCUUGACCAGGGAGUGAGCGUGAGUGUGAGCUCCUUCAGAGACUGGAUCUGGCCAGCCUGUGAUCAUGCUCAGCACACAGCUAGGCUAGGCAUCUUGGGACAUCCUGCUGUCUGUACUGGCCAGCCACAGACCACACGCCCCGUCUCCCCAACUUCCCCCUCCAAGUCCCUGUCAUUGCUUCGGAGAAGAGUCCAUCAAUGGGCUGCCCAAAGGCUUCGCUCUCUUCUUUCCAUGUUGUCUCCCCAAUAAACCUCUUGAGGGGA